GACGAACGCUGGCGGCGUGCUUAACACAUGCAAGUCGAACGGAAAGGCCCUGCUUUUGUGGGGUGCUCGAGUGGCGAACGGGUGAGUAACACGUGAGUAACCUGCCCUUGACUUUGGGAUAACUUCAUGAAACUGGGGCUAAUACCGGAUAGGAGCUCCUGCUGCAUGGUGGGGGUUGGAAAGUUUCGGCGGUUGGGGAUGGACUCGCGGCUUAUCAGCUUGUUGGUGGGGUAGUGGCUUACCAAGGCUUUGACGGGUAGCCGGCCUGCGCGGAUGACAGGCCACACUGGAACUGAGAUGAGGCACAGACUACUACGGGACGCAGCGGUGGGGAAUAGUGUACAAUGGGAGGAAGCCUGAUGUAGCAACGCAGCGUGGGGGAUGACGGGCAGCGGGUUGUAAACCGAUUUCGCCUGUGACGAAGCGAGAGUGACGGUAAUGGGUAAAGAAGCACCGGCUAACUACGUG
RNAcentral lists this ribosomal RNA (468 nucleotides) under uncultured bacterium. Its description in RNAcentral is "partial 16S ribosomal RNA". It matches the Rfam family "Bacterial small subunit ribosomal RNA", at positions 28 to 507 of the family's 1533-position model. The record is from RNAcentral.